Molecule: long non-coding RNA, 18598 nt
Filed under: Prunus persica (peach)
Lineage: Eukaryota; Viridiplantae; Streptophyta; Magnoliopsida; Rosales; Rosaceae
Description: long non-coding RNA (PPER_LNC001461)
Source: RNAcentral
CCCAAUUCAAGCCUUUGUUAAUUCCUUGGUAGUUUUUGCAGUUAAUAAAUUAGUAGAAGAUGGGUUAUCACAAUAAUCUUGAUAAGGUCCGUAAUAAGAGGGCCAAGUUUCCCUACACAAAGGAGCAGAUAAGGAACGUCUUCAAACGUCAUGACAAGAAUGGAGAUGGUCAACUUUCCAAAGAUGAGCUGGACGCAGCCUUCAAAGAACUUGGCUCGAUAUGGCCUCCUGGUAGAGCUUGGUUUGCUCAAAGGUAUGCAGAUGACGACGGCGAUGGCUUCAUUUCUAUAGACAAGGAGCUCAGCAAGCUCGUCCAGUAUGCCCUAGAAUUGAAGUAUACACUUAAGUAAUUAUAGUAUUAGUGGGUAACUAGUUCUUGUAUGUGCUUGCUAUAGAUAUAUUCUCAGCAAGCUCGUUGACUAUGCCCUCAAUUGAAGUUCUCUAUAUAAGUAAUCGUAGUGGUGGAGCUAAACUUGGUGUCUUAGUGACCACAACCACUUCAAGUCUAUAUGUAACUCCGUCUGUGUGUAAGCGUCUUUAAUUACUUGUAAGCAGCCGUAGUACCUAUAUAUGUGUGCAAGGUUGAAGGAACGAAAGAGGUGACCUUUUGUUUCCCUUCGUUACCAGGGAAGAUGAAUUUGAACCCUGAUUAUGUAUAAUAUAUAGUGAUUAACAAGAAUAAAGUAACAAACUUUGUGUAUUGAUAUCUAUUACGUAUACAUGUGUACGUAGGUGUGUCUAUAUAUUUAUAUAUGUACAUAUAUAUUGCAUUACAUACGUAUACAUACACAACUUACACUGAUAUUGUAUUACAUUCCCAAAUUCCUUCCCGGUCAAAAAGUCAACUUUUAUACUAAUAAAAUAUUCUAGGGGCAAAAUAGUCUUUUAUCUGAAUAAAUUAACAAUUAAAAAUUUAUUUAGGACUGGGUUGUUACAUAAACUCUUAUAAAUACCUCCUUAUGGAGAAGAAUAAAGUUAACCUAAUACAUUCAAACCAUAUUCAUAUUUUAGCACUAUGAAUGUUACCUUAUCGAGCAUGAGAUGUAUUUUGCUCACCCAGUAUCUCAUUCUCCUCAUCUAGGGGAGAGUAGCGUUGAAGAGUCGAAAUGGAUGGAGUUAUUUCAGGAUAAUAGUGAGGUUAAUUGGCUAGCCAUGUGUGACUUGACAACUAGUAACGAACCAAUCUGCACAGAACUGGCCAGUACCGCACUUGUGACUGAACCUACCAGUACCGUCGCACCCACAGCUUAUAACGUCUAUGCCGCCCCUCUCUCUACUACCUUUCUAGUACCCGGCCCCGAGUCUCCUCAUUCUAACAUUCUUGAGGUAAGUAUAUAAUCUUUGAUUAAUACUAACAAUGAUUGUGAAAUUAGUAAGUGUAGUGUGUAUCAGUUACCACCAAUGACUAAUCAUAGGAAGCCACCAUACGGAUAUUCACCAGAGCCUGCGACAUAGGUAAAGUAUCUUAUUUCUCAUUAUAUGUCUACUCAUAGAUUAUCUGAAGCUUGUCAGGCAUUUGUAAAUCAAAUGUCUAUGAUGACUAUUUCUAGUAAAGUACAAGAUGCAAUAUCUGAUUCAAAAUGGGCCAGUGCUAUGACUGAAGAGAUGCAAACUCUUGAGAAAGAUCAAACCUAGGAAUUGGUGCAACUGCCAGAAGGGAAGAAACCAGUUGGUUGCAGAUGUGUUAUAAAACACAAACCGGAUGGUUCUAUUGACAAGUAUAAAGCCAGACUUGUUGCCUGAGGUUUUUCCCAGACUUAUGAUAUUGAUUAACAUUUGCACCAAUGACUAAGAUCAAUACCAUUUGAGUUCGAUUAUCUUUAGCUGCAAACUUUAACUGGCCAUUGCAGCAAUAUGAUGUAAAAAAAUACCUUUUUACAUGGAGACUUACAAGAGGAAGUCUACAUGUCAUUGCCGCAAGGUUAUAAUGCUCAUACUGAUGCCAGUGUUCUGCGUAAAUUGAAGAAUACACUGUAUGGAUUGAAGCAGUCUCCGCGAACUUGGUUUAGGAGAUUGCGUCGUGCCAUGAAAAAAUAUGGUUAUGAGCAGAGCAACGCUCAUCAUACUUUAUUUCUUCAAAGGAAGAAUGGUAAGUUAACAGUUCUUAUUAUUAAUGCGGAUGAUAUGAUCGUGACUAGUGAUUGUCUUGAUGAAAUUGACAAAUUAAAAGGCUAUUUAGCUUCUGAGUUUGAUAUGAAGGAUCUCGGUGGAUUAAAAUAUUUUUUAGGUAUUGAGGUAACUUGUUCUGAACAUUGAAUUUUCUUGUCACAAAGAAAAUAUGUUCUUGUCACAAAGAAAAUAUGUUCUUGAUUUGCUAAAGGAAUCAGGUAUGCUUGGGUGUGAACCGAUUGGUACUCCUAUAGAACAAAAUCAUGGUUUGGAAGAAUAUCCAGAUCAAGUUCUAAGUGAUAAGGGACGAUAUCAAAGGUUGGUUGGUCGUUUGAUUUAUUUGUCUCAUACUAGACCUGAUAUUGCAUAUGCAGCAAGUGUUGUAAGUAGGUUCAUGCAUAAUCCAAGUCCAUGAUAUAUGGAUGCAGUAGUCUGAAUUUUGAGGUAUUUGAAAUUUGCACCAGGAAAAGGUAUGAUGUUCUUAAAGCAUGGGCAUGUAAAGGUUGUGGGGCAUACAUACUCAGACUGGGCAGGAAAGGAGGAUAAGAGGAGAUCGACAUUUGGUUAUUUCACGUUUGUUUAGGCGGUAACUUGGUUACUUUAUAGUCUAGGUGAUUGACCCCAAGCUUUUUGGAUGUUAGGUAUAUAUAGUUGGCUAUCGCGUUUAAGUACUUUUGGUUUCAGAGCGACACCCUUAUCCAUAUGGCAUCUACAACACAACAUAAAACAUAAGUUCUUUUCUUUUCAUAUCGGAUAUUGCUUUCGAGUUUCAUAUCCACCACGCUGUGUGUUAUCCCUAUGGCAUCUACGAUGGGGAUGCUUGUCCCAAUAGUCAUAGGCCAAAUCUCACCGAAAAGUCGAGCACUUUUUAGAAAGAAAGAAAGAAAGAAAGAAAAAGAAAAAAAAAAAAAAAAAAAAAAGGGUUUCACAAACCGAAAAGUUGAAUUAUUCAUUUCAACAAUUGGCAGAUGAAGUAUUUUUCUUAUCAACUUUACUACCAAAGAAAAGCUCACAAACCGUUUUAGACCAAACAAUUAAGCAUCUAUUAUCACUACUUGCAAGGUUCCAUGCUUUAUGUGCACGCAAAAUCUAGUCCAUAUAUCAUCCAUUGGAAUCAAGUAUUAUUUUUAAGGAGAGUGAUUGGCUCCUUGCCAAACUAUAUAUCAACAAAAUAUUAGCUAAAAUAUUGACAAUGUACCAUAUAUUGUAGAUAUGUUAGUACUCGAUACCAACAAAUUCUUUUCCAGAAUAAAGACCCAUGAGGCAUGUGACUUGAGGAAUAUUAGAAUACUUUUUUAAGGUCCAACAUGUGCGCAGGGGACCAGGCAGAAUCUUGUAUAAAUGGGAUUGAAUUCAUAGUGCAAGUCAUACAAGCCCUAGUUAAUUCCUUAUCCUUGGUAGUUUUGCAGUUAAUAAAUUAGAAGAAGAUGGUUUGGGAAACAAAAAGGUAUAAGGCCCCGAGCAAGGUUCCCUACACAAAGGAGCAGAUAAGGGACGUCUUCAAACGUCAUGAGACGAAUGGAGAUGGUCAACUUUCCAAAGAAGAGCUGGAUGCAGCCUUUGACGAACUUGGCGCGAAAUGGCCUCCUUUUAGAGCUUGGUUUGCUCGACGGUAUGCAGAUGACAACGGCGAUGGCUUCAUUUCUAUAGACAAGGAGCUCAGCAAGCUCGUCGAUUAUGCCCUAGAAUUGAAGUAUAUACUUCAUUAAUUAUAGUAUUUGUGGGUAACUAGUUCUUGUAUGUGCUUGCUAUAGAUAUAUUCUCAGCAAGUUCAUUGACUAUACCCUCAAUUCAAGCUUUCUAUAUAUGUAACUCUGUCCGUGUGUAAGCGUCUUUAAUUACUUAUAAGCCACCGUAGUUCCUAUAUAUGUGUGCAAGUUGAGGGAACAAAAGAGGUGAUCUUUUGUUUCCCCUUGUUACCAGGGAGGAUGAAUUUGAACCCUGAUUAUGUAUAAUAUAUAUAGUGAUUAACAAGAAUAAAGUAACAAACUUUGUGUAUUGAUAUCUAUUACAUAUAUAUAUAUGCGUACGUAGGUGUGUCUAUAUAUUUAUGUAUAUACAUAUAUAUUUUAUUACAUACGUAUACGUACACAACUUACACUGAUAAAAGCUCCGUGUUAUAGAGAUUACUGCAAUCCACUCAACACCACAUGUGGAAGCAUGGACAUUAGCAGAGUAACUUAAUAUGAUUCCAUACCAAUAUCUUGUUCAAGUGGCGUAGAGAUUUAAAUUUAAAAUCUUCAUAUAAGUAUAUCAAAAAAGAAAAAGAAGAAAAGAAAGAACUCUCACACAACUUUUCAUUGUUAUACACUCUUUUCCUAAGGGUGUACAUCCGUUCAAAACUAAUACAAUUUUACCAAUCUGCAUCUGAUUCAAUAUAUAGAUUGGAUUAUGAUUUUCUAAUCCAAUCCGAUCUCAUUAGAAGUAUAAAUCCAAUCCGAUCCAAUUAAAAUUGAAUUAGACUGGAUUGAAUGAUCAAUUUUUAUAAUGAAAAAUAGUAAUAACAAAAUAUAAAACAUUUAUCUUCAAGUUGAAUAUAAUCAAACAUUUCAGAACUUGGAGAGCACGAUGCCAUGCAGAUACCAACAGCAAAGACAGGUCCAUCCUCAACGUCAACGACCUUGUCAAAUAUGCCCUAAAACGUGGCUAUAAACUCUGAUUAACUCAGAAGCAGAUGAGGGGUUUUAGUCAACUAAUUAAUAUAAUAUAUAUGUGUAUAUGUGUGUAUGUAUGAGAGUUUUUAAUUACUUAUCUGCGAGUUCCAGCCAUAUAUACAUAUAUGUGUGUAUGCUAGAGAAGGAAGGAGGUGAGCUUUUGUUUCCCCCUCUUUGGCAAGGUUUGAUGAAUCAGAAUUAUGAUUUAUGUGGAAACUUUUGUAUUUCGCAAUGUGAUUUAAUAAUCAAAAAAAUUUAUAUUUAGAUAUCCUUUAUUAAGUAUCACCAAUUUAAUAUAAUUUUAUAAUUCACACCAACUAGCUUUUAAUAUAAUGAUAAUUGUCUCCACUUAAUUGAAUAAAGUUGCUACUCCGCUCCCUUCGCGGCCUCGGCAUCCCUGACAGCUUGGAUAGCAGCACCACCAAAUCUUGAUUUGAUUCAUAUGAAUACAACAUAACCUGCUUUGUAAACCUCGUAUGUAUAGUUUGAAGAGGAAAAGAAUUAUCAUCCAUACCAAAUCCAGAAAAACCAAAUUAUGUAUAUUAAAUGAGUUAGUAGUUACAAGGUCAAUAAUUUAUGGAGUAUAGGUGAUUGACCCCAACCUUUUUGGAUGUUGGGCAUAUAUAGCUAGCUGUCGCGUUGAAGUAGUUUUGGUUUCAGAGCGACACUCUUAUCCAUACAAUAUGUCGGUGUGCCGAUGAAAGAAUCUAUUGAUUUGUCCUCGCAAUGCAAGUGAAGGAUAAACGGCAAACUGUGUGAAUGUUUUUACUGUGAUCAGUAUGGUUGUAGAAACCAAAGCGAAGGCCUAGCUAGUUGACCCAAGUCAAGCAAAAGAAUCUAUUAGAAUUCUUCAUGUAGGACGUACGCAGGCUUAGUUUUUGUGCUUGCUGCUGAUUAGUCUGUGAUCAUGUAAUAUAAUGUCUCUGUGUAUGUACAUAUAUGCGUAUGUUAAUGAAUUAAUGACCAGUGAGCAGCCAUAGCUCUGUUUCAUAAAAUGGAUAAGCACAAAAUUUAGAAAAUAUGUGAAGGGCAUUAGUUAAUGGUUAUGUUGUUUUAUUGUUAAUGUCUAAUCUAUAUUUCAGUAAUACCAUGUGACACCAAAUGAGUUCUGUUACAAUCACCUUUUUCAUUUUCUUUUAUGAAAAAAAAGAAAAAGAAAAAAAAAACUUGAAACCAAAUGAGUUUGAUUCACAUGAAUUGCAUAAUGGGUAUAAGAUUGUCGCAAGUAAUUUGUUGAAGUGUUUCUCAUACAAUGACUCCAAAAUCAGAAGCCAAAAAGGGGAAGAAAAAUUAUGAAGCCAGAACCUGGCUUACCUGACGAAUCAGCAUCCAACGAGAGAAAAGUUGAAGCCGAUCGAGUUUAUGAUUUUCUUGGAGGACUUGAUUCACCGUAUGAUGGUGUCUAUAGCCGUAUUCUUACUCUUAGUCCUAUCCCGCCCCCUCUCGAAGCCUAUACCAUGGUCAUGGAGGAAGACACUCGUUAGUCUGCUAUGCUUAGAGGAGGUUCGAUGGCCCUCAAAGUCGACCCAGCCCGUCAAUGACCGGUCACUACCCAUCCAGAAAAUUUUCUUCUUCUGCUAGGCCUCGUUCUUCUGGAUCUAUCCCUAGCUCUCUUGAAGGUCCUCCUAAGUGUCGUCAUUGUAAUGGGAAUCACUAUUCUGAGAAGUGUUUUAAGGAGCAUGGUUAUCUUGAUUGGUUUGCUAACUACACGGCUCGUAUGUAUGGUCCUAAAGCCGCCUAUACUAUGACUCAAGAUGAGGCUCGUCCUCUGGCCCUUUCUACAAAUCUGUGUGCUUCUGAUACCAUGCCAUGUAUGGGUUCUAAUACUUGGAUAAUUGACACUGAUGCUUCUGAUCAUAUGACUUUUGAUAAUAAUAUGUUUGAUGAGUUGUCCCAUAACCCUCGUGACCCUUAUAUUACUAGUGCUAAUGGUUUACCUUCCCCAGUUAUUGGUGAAGGUACCAUCCAACUCGCUCAUUCUUUACCUCUAUCCCAUGCACUCUUGGUUCCAAAUAUUCGUUGCAAUUUGUUAUCUGUUGGGCGUUUACUUGAUACACUUAACGCGUCUGCUACUUUCUAUUCUACCUAUUGUUUUUCCAAGAUCUCAAAACUCACGAGAAGAUUAGGCAUAGUAAAUAGAUGGGGGGUUGUAUUACUUAUAGUUAUCAGUUGCAGCAGUUCGUGGUUGUGUCGCUAAUAAAGUUUAGAAUGGCAGUGUCAAAGACAAGCAACAACUUUGGUUGUGGCAUCGUCAUUUAGGACAUCCGUCCUUUGUUUAUCUUAAACAUUUGUUUUCUUCAUUAUUUAGUUUGUGUGAUGAGUCUAGCUUCAAAUAUGAAACUUGUGUAAUGGCCAAGAGCUACCGUAUUGUUUUUCCCUUGAGUAAUAAUAAAGCUGCAUUGCCUUUUGAGUUAGUACAUUCGGAUGUAUGGGGUCCUUCCCGUGUGACUUCUAAUGGUUUCCGUUGGUUUGUCACGUUUAUUGAUGACUGCACUCGCUUAACAUGGGUAUAUUUGAUGAAGCAUAAACAUGAUGUUGCCUCUAUUCUUCCUAUUUUUUGUGCUAUGGUGUCUACUCAGUUUCAUGCCAGUAUUAAAGUAUUUCGGACUGAUAAUGGAGGUGAAUAUGUGAAUCAUACCUUGACCCAUUUCGUCCGUGAUCAAGGUAUCAUCCACCAAACUACCACUCUAUUCACUCCUCAACAGAAUGGUAUGUCUGAACGUAAGAAUCGUCAGUUACUUGAAGUUGCUCGCUCCCUUAUGUUGGAUAUGUCUUUUCCCCAUCAUCUUUGUGGACACGGUGUCUUGGCCACUGCUCAUUUGAUUAACCGUACUCCUAGUCGGGUUCUUGAUUUCAAGACUCUGCUUGAUGUGUUAUGUACCCAUACUUCUCCAGUCUCGGUCUCUAAGUUACCUCCAAAGGUGUUGGGUGUGUUGCUUUUGUUCAUGUCUACUCUCAUUAACGGAGUAAACUGGACCUGUGUGCGCUUCGCUGUGUCUUCAUUGGCUAUUCUACCACUCAAAAGGGUUACAAGUGCUAUCACCCUCAUUCACAGAAAGUACAUGUUACUUUGGAUGUCAUCUUUCACGAAAAAGUAUCGUAUUAUGUCUCUUCCUCCUCUCUAAUUCAGGGGGAGAAGGGGAGUGAAUUGAAGAGUUUCGGAAUGGAAAAUCAUGGACGUAAAGAGGCAUGUGAAGGAAUUUCUGACCAAGUGCCAACGACCGGUCGUGUAAAGGAAGCAACCGGUCACCAAGUAAUCUGCCUGGAAUCGACCGGUCGAGCAGACGAUGACGACUAGUCGCAUGCCUAGAUGACUGAUGACUGCCAGGAAACGACGAUCGAUCGCUCAAAAGAUGACGAUCGGUCGCCUAUUGAAUUCUUUGAUGAAAUUUGCUCUUCGCCAAAAGAACGUGACAGUGAUACUGGUGACUCUUGUGAAGAUAAGAUCGAUAUAAGACCCCCAUCUGCUCUGCCACUGCCCCAAUCAACUCUUGAUAAUGAUGAAGUACUUUCUAAUGAUGUGUCUACUUAUUCAUUACCCCCACCCACUACUCGUGGUAAACCUAAAGUACAAUAUUCUAUUGAUAUACAUUCCAAAUCUAAAUAUCUCAUUAACCAUUAUGUGCCAACUCAUCGUCUAUCUAAGUCAUAUGCAUCAUAUUUGUGUCAAUUAUCUAGUGUUUGUAUGUCAACUAAGUUGCAUGAUGCUUUAUCUAAUCUAAAAUGGGUAGAUGCAAUGCAUGUUGAGAUGGAAGCCUUGAACAAGAAUGCCACUUGGGAGCUAGUUCCUUUACCAAAAGGAAAAAAGGCAGUUGGGUGCAGAUGAGUGUUUACUUUGAAGACAAUGCUGAUGGUUCCAUUGACCGUUACAAGGCAAGGUUGGUAGCAAAAAGUUAUACUCAGACUUAUGGAGUGGAUUACACAGCGACCUUUGCUCCAGUAGCAAAGCUCAAUACUGUGCGCGUACUCUUGACCUUGGUUGCUAAUCAUGAUUGGCCUAUGUUACAAUUCGAUGUCAAAAAUGCAUUCCUCCAUGGUGACCUCAAGAAAGAAAUAUACAUGGAUCCUCCGCCGAGUAUUCCUGUGACCUCUAAGGAGGGUAUGGUGUGCAAACUAUGGAAAUCCUUAUAUGGAUUAAAGCAGUCUCCAAGAGCUUGGUUUAGGAAGUUUGCUGCAUCUAUUAGGAAGUUUGGGUAUGUAUAAAGUAAUUCGAAUCAUACGUUGUUUCUGAAGGGUCGCAAAGGUAAAUUGACAGCUUUAAUAAUUUAUGUUGAUAAUAUAAUUGUAACUGGAGAUGAUCAUGCAGAAAUACACAGUCUCCAGAAAUAUCUGGCGUCUGAGUUUGAGAUGAAAUCAUUAGGUGACUUGAAGUAAUUUCUCGGGAUUGAAGUUGCUAAAUCUAAGCGUGGUAUUUUCCUGUUUCAAAGGAAGUAUAUUUUGGAUUUGCUUGCAGAAACUGGAAUGAUGGAUUGUAAACCAAUUGAUAAUCCUAGUGAACAAAAUCACAAGUUGGGGUUCUAUCCUGAUCAAGUUCCUACUGAUAAGGAGUGCUAUCAACAGCUCGUGGGGAAAUUAAUUUAUUUAGCUCAUACAUGUCCUGACAUUGCGUAUGCAGUGAGUGUAGUGAGUCAGUUUAUGCACUUGCCUAGUGAAGACCAUAUGGGAGCUGUGACGCGUAUUUUGAGAUAUCUCAAAGUAACUCCUGGCAAUGGGUUAAUGUUUUCAAAGUAUGGUCAUAUAGAUGUGGAAGGAUACACAGAUGCUAAUUAGGCAAGUUUAGCUAUUGAUAGGCGUUCUACGUCUGGGUAUUUUACGUUUGUUGGUGGUAAUCUUGUUACUUGGAGAAGCAAGAAACAAAAUGUGGUGUCUUGUUCUAGUGAUGAGGCUGAGUAUCGUUGGAUGGCCCAUGACGUAUGUGAGUUACUGUGGUUGAGGAGAUUAUUGAGAGAUCUUGGCUUUGGACCUAAGAAACCUAUGGAUUUAUAUUGUAACAAUAAGGCUGCGAUUGCAAUUGCUCAUAAUCAUGUACAACAUGAUCGUACAAAGCAUGUGGAGGUUGAUCGAAAUUUCAUUAAAGAGAAGUUCGAUGCGGAGAUUGUUUCCUUCCCAUUCAUCAGUUCUGAGUAUCAGUUAGCUGAUGUCCUUACGAAAGCUGUUUCUACAAGUAUCUUCCUCAACUCGCUUGACAAGUUAGGCAUGUGUGACGUCUUUGCUCCAACUUGAGAGGGAGUGUUGGCGAGAUAUCCUAACCCUAUUAGGAUAUUUCCUUCUUAUUCUAAUAGGAUUUUAUUUAUUUCUUUUUGUAUAGAUAUUACGUAAUUAGGACUUUUCUUAUUUCCUAGUAUAACCCUAUUAGAGUUUGUAACCUUGUAUUAUAAAUACCUCCUUUCGAAAAAUGAAAUACAUAUAAAAAAUAUUAUACCUAUAUUGUUUGACUAAGAUGAUGCAAGGGUUGAGUCUGAUAAUACGCAGGGUAGAAGAUGAAGAGGCGAGAGAACAUGUUUGUGUCAAACAUGUAUUUUAAUAAUUUUUUUUAAUAAAAAAAAAUGAAUUGAAGAGUUAACAGAGUUAAAAUGUUGUUAAAUAGUGUGCCACAUGUUACAAAAUCAAGGAGGAAAUGGGGACACAGAGAAUUUGGUAACAGAAAAAUUCAACUUGUAAGAGUAGCACUAGUUUAUAGUCCAUAGGUGAUUGACCCCAACCUUUUUGGAUGUUAGGCAUAUAUAGAUAGCUAUCGCGUUUAAGUACUAUUGGUUUCAGAGCGACACCCUUAUCCAUAUGGCAUCUACAACACAACAUAAAACAUAUGUUCUUUUCUUUUCAUAUCGGAUAUGGCUUUCGAGUUUCAUAUCCACCACGCUGUGUGUUAUCCAUAUGGCAUCUACAAUUGGGAUGCUUGUCCCAACAGUCAUACGCCAAAUCUCACAUAAUGAAUCUCGAUCCAACUUAAAGAGUAUAAGAUGGAGAUCUCAAGUACUCUUGAGUCUGAUAAUUAUAUUUCCAACGUUAAUUUAGGGGUUUUAGUACUUAUGAUUAAUAAUUUAUAGUUAAAAUGUUUUUAUAUGUUAUAUUAAAAUACUAUGUGCAAAGGAUUCACUAGUGUAGUGGUUUAAAGCAAUUUCUCUUUCAGACAACGUUAUAGGUUCGAAUUCUAAUAUCUGCUAGAAAGAAAGAAAGAAAAAGGUUUCACUCACAAACCGAAAAGUUGAAUUAUUCCUUUCAACAAUUGGCAGAUGAAGCAUUUUACUGUUAUCAACUUUACUACCAAAGAAAAGCUCACAAACCGCUUUUGACCAAACAAUUAAGCAUCUAUUAUCACUACUUGCAAAGUUCCAUGCUUUAUGUGCACGCAAAAUCUAGUCCAUAUAUAUGACUCGAUUUUUUUUAAAUAAUCAACUGUAGUUUACCAAUUUCAUCUGCGGAAAUUACAAGAGGCAACACUUAGAACAAGAGAAACCUAACUCAAAAACAAGAAGAACAAGAAUUUGUUUGAUAUUUCAUCCAUUGGAAUCAAGUAUUAUUUUUAAGGAGAGUGAUCGGAUCGAUGCCAAACUAUAGUAAGUAUAUAUCAACAAAAUACCAAACUGGAGUAUCAAGAAAAUAUUGAAUAAAAUAUCAAUAAUGUAUCAUAUACUGUAAAUAAAUUGGUACCCGAUACCAACAAAUUCUUUCCCAAAAUAGAGACCCUUGAGGCAUGUGACUUGAAGAAUAUUAGAAUACUUUUGGAGGUCCAACAUGUGCGCAGGGGAUCAGGCAGAGCCCUAUAUAAAUGGGCUCCCUCAUAGUGUACAAGUCACCCAAUUCAAGCCUUUGUUAAUUCCUUGGUAGUUUUUGCAGUUAAUAAAUUAGUAGAAGAUGGGUUAUCACAAUAAUCUUGAUAAGGUCCGUAAUAAGAGGGCCAAGUUUCCCUACACAAAGGAGCAGAUAAGGAACGUCUUCAAACGUCAUGACAAGAAUGGAGAUGGUCAACUUUCCAAAGAUGAGCUGGACGCAGCCUUCAAAGAACUUGGCUCGAUAUGGCCUCCUGGUAGAGCUUGGUUUGCUCAAAGGUAUGCAGAUGACGACGGCGAUGGCUUCAUUUCUAUAGACAAGGAGCUCAGCAAGCUCGUCCAGUAUGCCCUAGAAUUGAAGUAUACACUUAAGUAAUUAUAGUAUUAGUGGGUAACUAGUUCUUGUAUGUGCUUGCUAUAGAUAUAUUCUCAGCAAGCUCGUUGACUAUGCCCUCAAUUGAAGUUCUCUAUAUAAGUAAUCGUAGUGGUGGAGCUAAACUUGGUGUCUUAGUGACCACAACCACUUCAAGUCUAUAUGUAACUCCGUCUGUGUGUAAGCGUCUUUAAUUACUUGUAAGCAGCCGUAGUACCUAUAUAUGUGUGCAAGGUUGAAGGAACGAAAGAGGUGACCUUUUGUUUCCCUUCGUUACCAGGGAAGAUGAAUUUGAACCCUGAUUAUGUAUAAUAUAUAGUGAUUAACAAGAAUAAAGUAACAAACUUUGUGUAUUGGUAUCUAUUACGUAUAUAUGUGUACGUAGUUGUGAACUUGUGUCUAUAUAUUUAUGUAUGUACAUAUAUAUUGUAUUACAUACGUACACAUGCACAACUUACACUAAUAAAAGCGCCAUGUUAUAGAGAUUACUACAAUCCACUUAACACCACAUGUGGAAACAUGGACAUGACCAGAGCAACUUAAUAUGAUUCCAUAUCAAUAUCUUGCCUUUUGUUUUGGUACAUUCUGAUGUUUGGGGCCUACUCCAAUUACUAGUACUUCUGGCUUCCGUUGAUUUGUUAUUUUGUGGAUGAUUGCACUCGCAUAUCAUGGUUGUACCUGAUGCAAAAUAAGAGUGAUGUUUUUGCUUGCUUUCGAACUUUUCACCAGAUGAUUAAAAAUCAAUUUUCUGCUACUUUAAAGGUGCUUCUUUCAGAUAAUGGUGGUGAACAAUUUUGAUGAUUCUUCCCUUCAUCCACACCAUUCUUACACAGUUAUUUUCAGAAACAUGGAAUUCUACAUGAGACUACUUGUCCUUACACACCUCAGCAGAAUGGUGUGGAUGAAGGGAAGAAUCAUCAAAAUUGUGAAAUUACUCAUGCUAGUCUUAUAGGUGCCCAUAUGACCCCAUAAUUCUAGGAGGAGGUGAUCACCUAUACAGUCUAUCUUCUUAAUAUUGUGUUCCUGCUAGUGUCCUGUAGUUUAAGACACCAUUGGACAAAUUUGAGGCUUAUGUUUCCUUCCUAUCUCAUAUCACUCUUCUGUCACAUCUCGGGAUCGGCUCCGUCAUAGCACGAUAUUGUCCGCUUUGGGCCCCCUUUCUGCCCUCACAGUUUUGUUUCUAUGAAUCACGAGCAACUUCCCAGUGAGUCACCCAUCCUGGGAUUGAUUUAGCCCCAACUCGCUUAACUUCAGAGUUCCCAUGACUCUGAAGCCAGUGAGCUCUCAAAAGGCCUCGUGCUAGAUGGAGGAGGGCAUGUACAUAUAAGGCACAUCACCCCCUCUCCGUUGGUCGAUGUGGGAUGUUACACUUCUACCUUGUGUUUUUAGAUGCGUUGCUUUUGUGCACUUGCACAAACAUCAACAUACGAAAUUCGAUCAGUGUGCUGUGAAGUGUGUGUUUAUUGGUUAUCACCCCCAUCAGAAGGGUUAUCGGUACUUUCAUCUACCGAGUCAACAUUUUUAUGUUACUAUGAAUGUUACGCUUUCCAAGCAUGAGAUGUAUUUUGCUAAACCAGUAUCUCAUUCUCCUCUUAUGGGGGAGAGUAGCGUUGAAGAGUCAAAAUGGAUGAGUUAUUUCAGGAUAAUAAUGAGGUUAAUUGGUAGCCAUGCGUGACUUGACAGCUAGUAACGAACCAACCUGCACAGUACCAACCAGUACCGCACCUGCGACUGAACCUACCUGCACAUUCGCACCCACAGCCGAUAACGUCUGUGCUGCCCCUCUCUCUACUACUUUUCCAGUACCGGCCCUAAGUCUCCUCAUGCUGACAUUCUUGAGGUAAGAAUAGAAUCUUUAAUUAACACUAACAAGGAUUGUGAAAUUAUUGAGCGUAGUGAGUAUCAGUUACCAACAAUGAGUAAUUGUGGGAAGCCACCAUAUGGAUAUUCACCAGAGCCUGCGACAAAGGUAAAGUAUUUUAUUUCUCAUUAUAUGUCUACUCACAGAUUAUCUGAAGCUUGUCAGGCAUUUGUAAAUCAAAUGUCUACUGUGGCUAUUUAUAGUAAAGUACAAGAUGCAUUGUCUGAUUCAAAAUGGGCUAUUGCUAUGAUUGAAGAGAUCCAAACUCUUGAGAAAAAUCAAACCUAGGAAUUGGUGCAACAGCCAUAAGGGAAGAAACCAGUUGGUUGCAGAUGUAUUAUACCAUAAAACACAAACCGGAUGGUUCUAUUGACAAGUAUAAAGCCAGACUUGUUGCCCAGAGUUUUACCCAAACUUAUGGUAUUGAUUAUCAAGAGACAUUUGCACAUGUGGCUAAGAUCAAUACCAUUCGAGUUCUACUAUCUUUAGCUACAAACUUUAACUGACCAUUGCAGCAAUAUGAUGUAAAAAAUGUCUUUUUACAUGGAGACUUACAGGAGGAAGUCUACAUGUCAUUGUCACCAGGUUAUAAUGCUCCUACUGAUGCCAGUGUUCUGUGUAAAUUAAAGAAUGCACUGUAUGGAUUGAAGCAGUCUUUGCAAGCUUGGUUUAGGAGAUUGCGCCGUGCCAUGAAAAAUAUGGUCAUGAGCAGAGCAAUGCUCGUCAUACUUUAUUUCUUAAAAGGAAGAAUGGUAAGUUAACAGCUCUUAUUAUUUAUGCGGAUGAUAUGAUCGUGACUGGUGAUGAUCUUGAUGAAAUUGGCAAAUUAAAAGGCUAUUUCGCUUCUGAAUUUGAUAUGAAGGAUCUCGGUGGAUUAAAAUAUUUUCUGGAUAUUGAGGUAACUCAUUCUGAAUAUGGAAUUUUCUUGUCACAAAGAAAAUAUGUUCUUGAUUUGCUAAAGGAAACAGGUAUGCUUGGGUGUGAACCGAUUGGUACUCCUAUAGAACAAAAUCAUGGUUUGGAAGAAUAUCCAAAUCAAGUUCCAACUGAUAAAGGACGAUAUCAAAGGUUGGUUGGUCGGUUGAUUUAUUUGUCUCACACUUGACCUAAUAUUGCAUAUGCAGUAAGUGUUGUAAGUAGGUUCAUGCAUAAUCCAAGUUUACGAUAUAUGGAUGCAGUAGUCCAAAUUUUGAGGUAUUUGAAGUCUGCACUAGGAAAAGGUCUGAUGUUCUUAAAGCAUGGCAUGUAAAGGUUGUGGGGUAUACGGACUUAGACUCGGCAGGGAAUGGGGAUAAGAGGAGAUAGACAUUUGGUUAUUUCACGUUUGUUUAGGCGGUCACUUGGUUACUUGGAAGAGUAAAAAGCUGAAGGUUGUCUAUUUGUUGAGUCCAGAUGUCGAGUAUCGGGCUAUGGUGAAAGGUGUUUGUGAAGUGCUAUGGUUAAAAAGGCUUAUGGGGGAGCUAGGUUUUCCUACUGAGAAUACUAUGAAGUUGUAUUGUGAUAAUCAGUCAGCAAUUAAGAUUGCUGAAAAUCCAGUUCAACAUGAUAGAAUGAAACAUGUAGAGAUUGAUCGAAACUUUAUUUAUGAGGAAUUGGAAGAGAAGAUUAUUGAAGUUCCAUAUGUUAAGACUACUGAACAAUUGGCAAAUAUGUUGACCAAGGUUGUAUCAAAUCAAGCCUUUACAGAUUCACUUACCAAGCUAGGUAUCUGCGACAUCUAUGCACCAUCUUGGGGGGAGUGUUGGCUUGAAUCACAAUAGGAAUUAUAGACAAUUACCUUUAUUAUAUUGAUUUGUAAUUAUAGGAAUACCGGUUUGACCUGGAUUGUAUUUAUUCCUUUUUCCUUAUUGUAAUUAGUUACUAGAUAGACUUGUAUUUGUAUCACUAUAAAUACCUCAUUGUGAGAAGAAUAGAAACAUACUGAAUCAUUCGUAACCCUAAAUUCUAUUUGAAUGGUGUUAGCAGCAGCCAAAAAGGGGAAAAAUUUAUGAAGCGAUUUUCCUUCCAAUGGUGAUUGUGAAUUGAGUCGAGUGAGAGAGAAAGACUUAAGAGGCUGAAAGAAUUGACAAAAGCUCGUGAAUCAUCUGCUCGGCAUUGGCACUGGCUGGUUUUCAUGUAAAUUUGCAGUAUGCAAGUUCUGUUCAAAUCACAUUUUUCAUUGUCUUUUAUGGAAAAAAAAACUGAAACCAAAUGAGUUUGAUUCACAUGAAUUGCAUAAUCGGUAUAUGAUUGUCGCAAGUUAUUUGUUGAAGUGUUUCUCAUACGAUGGCUCCAAAAAAGUGGAGAAAAAUUAUGAAGCAAAACCUAGCUUACCCAACGAACCAGCUUCGAAUGAGCGAAAAAAUUUAUCGAACCAGAUACAGGGGCUAAGUUUUGCAUGGCAGAGAUGAUGCAAGGGUUGAGUCUGAUGAUACGUAGGGUAGAAGAUGAGGAGACGAGAGAACAUGUUUGUGUCAAACGCGUAUUUUAAUAAUUUUUUUUAAAAUAAAAAGAAAUGGGUUGAAGAGUUAAUAGAAUUAAAAUGUUGUUAAAUGGUGUGCCGUGUGUCACAAAACCAAUGAAGAAAUAAAGAGGCACAAGAGAUUUGGUAAGAGGAAAAUUGGACUCGUAAGAGUAACACUAAUUUAUAGAGUGGGUGAUUGACCCCAAGCUUUUUGGAUGUCAGGCAUAUAUAGCUAGCUAUCGCGAAGUACUUUUGGUUUCAGAGCUACCGUCUUAUCCAUAUGGCAUCUACAAACAUACAGCAUAUGUCGGUGUGCCGAUCAAAGAAUAUAUAAAGCAUUUUACUGUGAUCCAUUAUACGCUUUCGUCACGUGUAGUGAUCCAUUAUAUUGUUGGAUAUUGCUAUUGGUUUCGGUUUUUUGAAUGAACCAUAAUCUUAAUCUUACACUGCAAGUCCAAACCUUAUCUCUUGUAGUGUUUCAGGCACCCCUUUCUUGUAGUGUUCUUGUGGUGGUUCUGUUCAAAAUGUUGUCCACCCAAAACCUUUGCAUACUUUACAGAAAAAUUACCCCACAUAUCGGAUAUUGCUUUCCAGUUUCAAAUCCACCACGCUGUGUGUUAUUCAUAGGGCAUCUACAAUGGGGUAUGCUUGUCCCAAUAGUCAUAAGCCAAAUCUCACAUAAUGAAUCUCGAUCCAACUUAAAGAGUAUAAGAUGGAGAUCUCAAGUACUCUGAGUCUAAGAAUUAUAUUUCCAACAUGAAUUUAGGGGUUUUAAUACUUAUGAUUAUUUUAUAGUUAAAAUGAUUUUAUAUGUUAUAUUAAAACACUACGUGCAAAGGAUCCACUAAUGUAGUGGUUUAGAGCAAUUGUUCUCUCAGACAACGUCAUGAGUUCGAGUCCUAGCAUCUGUGUAGUUGAAUUAUCCCUUACAAACCGAAAAGUUGGGCACCUUUCAGAAAGAAAGAAGAAAAAAAGGUUUCACAAACCGAAAAGCUGAAUUAUUCCUUUCAACAAUUGGCAGAUGAAGCAUUUUACUGUUAUCAACUUUACUACCAAAGAAAAGCUCACAAACCGUUUUAGACCAAACAAUUAAGCAUCUAUUAUCACUACUUGCAAAGUUCCAUGCUUUAUGUGCACGCAAAAUCUAGUCCAUAUAUGCUACUCGAUUUUUUUUAAUAAUCAACUGUAGUUUACCAAGAAUUUGUUUGAUAUUUCAUCCAUUGGAAUCAAGUAUUAUUUUUUAGGAGAGUGAUCCGCUCGUUGCCAAAGUAUAUAUCAACAAAAUAUUAGGUAAAAUAUUGACAAUGUACCAUAUACUGUAGAUAUGUUAGUACUCGAUACCAACAAAUUCUUUUCCAGAAUAAAGACCCAUGAGGCAUGUGACUUGAAGAAUAUUAGAAUACUUUUUUAAGGUCCAACAUGCGCGCAGGGAACCAGGCAGAGCCCUAUAUAAAUGGGAUUGAAUUCAUAGUGCAAGUCAUUCAAGCCCUGGUUAAUUCCUUAUCCUUGGUAGUUUUGCAGUUAAUAAAUUAGAAGAAGAUGGUUUGGGAAACAAAUAGGUAUAAGGCCCCGAGCAAGGUUCCCUACGCAAAGGAGCAGAUAAGGGACGUCUUCAAACGUCAUGACAAGAAUGGAGAUGGUCAACUUUCCAAAGAAGAGCUGGACGCAGCCUUUGACGAACUUGGCGCGAAAUGGCCUCCUUUUAGAGCUUGGUUUGCUCGACAGUAUGCAGAUGACAACGGCGAUGGCUUCAUUUCUAUAGACAAGGAGCUCAGCAAGCUCGUCCAGUAUGCCCUAGAAUUGAAGUAUAUACUUCAUUAAUUAUAGUAUUAAUUAGUGGGUAACUAGUUCUUGUAUGUACUUGCUAUAGAUAUAUUCUCAGCAAGCUCAUUGACUAUACCCUCAAUUAAAGCUCUCUCUAUAUAUGUAAUCGUAGUGAUGGAGCUAGACUUGGUAUCUUAGUGGCCACAACCACUUCAAGUUUGUAUGUAACUCCGUCCGUGUGUAAGCGUCUUUAAUUACUUGUAAGCAGCCGUAGUACCUAUAUAUGUGUGCAAGGUUGAAGGAACGAAAGAGGUGACCUUUUUUUUCCCUUCGUUACCAGGGAAGAUGAAGAACCCUGAUUAUGUAUAAUAUAUAGUGAUUAACAAGAAUAAAGUAACAAACUUUGUGUAUUGAUAUCUAUUACAUAUAUAUGUGUAUGUAGGUGUGUCUAUAUAUUUAUAUAUGUACACAUAUAUUGUAUUACAUACGUAUACAUACACAACUUACACUGAUAAAAGCUCCAUGUUAUAGAGAUUACUACAAUAUUCCACUCAACACCACAUUUGGAAGCGUGGACAUGAGCAGAGCAACUUAAUAUGAUUCCAUAUCAAUAUCUUGUUCAAG